UCUGGAAUAGCUCAUUCGGUAGAGCGUCAGAUUCGAGAUCUGAAGGCCGCGGGUUCAACUCCCGCUUCCAAAA
Molecule: transfer RNA, 73 nt
Filed under: Myxococcales bacterium
Lineage: Bacteria; Pseudomonadati; Myxococcota; Myxococcia; Myxococcales
Description: tRNA-Ser
Rfam family: tRNA
About the family: Transfer RNA (tRNA) molecules are approximately 80 nucleotides in length. Their secondary structure includes four short double-helical elements and three loops (D, anti-codon, and T loops).
Source: RNAcentral